GACGAACGCCGGCGGCGUGCUUAACACAUGCAAGUCGAACGGAAAGGCCUCUUUCGGGGGUACUCGAGUGGCGAACGGGUGAGUAACACGUGAGUAACCUGCCCUUGACUUUGGGAUAACUUCAGGAAACUGGGGCUAAUACCGGAUAGGAGCUCCUGCUGCAUGGUGGGGGUUGGAAAGUUUCGGCGGUUGGGGAUGGACUCGCGGCUUAUCAGCUUGUUGGUGGGGUAGUGGCUUACCAAGGCUUUGACGGGUAGCCGGCCUGAGAGGGUGACCGGCCACAUUGGGACUGAGAUACGGCCCAGACUCCUACGGGAGGCAGCAGUGGGGAAUAUUGCACAAUGGGUGGAAGCCUGAUGCAGCAACGCCGUGUGCGGGAUGACGGCCUUCGGGUUGUAAACCGCUUUCGCUCAUGACGAAGCUUUGUGUGACGGUAGUGGGUAAAGAAGCACCGGCUAACUACGUG
RNAcentral lists this ribosomal RNA (466 nucleotides) under uncultured bacterium. Its description in RNAcentral is "partial 16S ribosomal RNA". It matches the Rfam family "Bacterial small subunit ribosomal RNA", at positions 28 to 507 of the family's 1533-position model. The record is from RNAcentral.